CGGUAAUUCCAGCUCCACUAGUAUAAAUCGUCAUUGCUGCGGUUAAAAAGCUCGUAGUUGGAUUUGAGGCACGUACAGCGGUUCGGCUCUGCCGUUAAUCACUGUUGUGUCUAAUUUGUUGGUUUUCUGUUGGUAACUUCGGUUCCUUCAGUGGCUAGCAAGUUUACCUUGAUCAAAUCAAAGCGCUCAAAGCAGGCGAUUGCUUGCAUUUGGGAUCAUGGAAUAAUAAAAUAGGAUUUCGAUUCUAUUUAUUGGUUUAGAAUUGAAUUAAUGAUUAAGAGAGACAAUUCGGGGGCAUUCGUAUCCCUGCGCGAGAGGUGAAAUUCGUGGACCGCAGGGGGACGUCCAAAAGCGAAAGCAUUUGCCAAGAAUGCUUCAUUAAUCAAGAACGAAAGUCAGAAGGUUCGAAGGCGAUUAAGAUACCGCCCUAGUUCUGACCGUAAACUACGCCAUCUAGCGAUCCCGAUAGGGUAUUCAUGCCUUGUCGGGGAGCUUCCCGGAAACGAAAGUUUUUCGGUUCCGGGGGUAAUAUGGUUGCAAAGCUGAAACUUAAAGAAAUUUGACGGAAGGGCACCCACCAGGAAUUGGAGCCUGCGGCUUAAUUUGACUCACACCGGGAAACUCACCCGGGCCCGGACACCAGUAAGGAUUGACAGAAUGGAAGCUCUUUCUCGAUUUGGUGGGUGGUGGUGCAUGGCCCGUCCUAGUUGGUGGAACCGAUUU
This 723-nucleotide ribosomal RNA is filed under the name uncultured eukaryote. RNAcentral's name for it is "SSU rRNA". It matches the Rfam family "Eukaryotic small subunit ribosomal RNA", at positions 577 to 1312 of the family's 1831-position model. The record is from RNAcentral.